CCUACGGGGGACAGCAGUGGGGAAUAUUGCACAAUGGGGGGAACCCUGAUGCAGCGACGCCGCGUGAGUGAAGAAGUAUCUCGGUAUGUAAAGCUCUAUCAGCAGGGAAGAAGAUGACGGUACCUGACUAAGAAGCCCCGGCUAACUACGUGCCAGCAGCCGCGGUAAUACGUAGGGGGCAAGCGUUAUCCGGAUUUACUGGGUGUAAAGGGAGCGUAGACGGCAGGGCAAGUCUGGAGUGAAAGCCCGGGGCCCAACCGCGGGACUGCAUUGGAAACUGGCAUGCUAGAGUGCUGGUGAGGUAAGCGGAAGUCGUGGUGUAGCGGUGAAAUGCGUAGAUAUUAGGAGGAACACCAGUGGCGAAGGCAGCUUACUAGACAGUAACUGACGUUGAGGCUCGAAAGCGUGGGGAGCAAACAGGAUUAGAUACCCGUGUAGUC
This 440-nucleotide ribosomal RNA is filed under the name uncultured bacterium. Its description in RNAcentral is "partial 16S ribosomal RNA". It matches the Rfam family "Bacterial small subunit ribosomal RNA", at positions 338 to 795 of the family's 1533-position model. The record is from RNAcentral.